GACGAACGCUGGCGGCGUGCUUAACACAUGCAAGUCGUACGGUAAGGCCCUUUCGGGGGUACACGAGUGGCGAACGGGUGAGUAACACGUGAGUAACCUGCCCACAACUUUGGGAUAACGCUAGGAAACUGGUGCUAAUACUGGAUAUGUGCUCCUGCUGCAUGGUGGGGGUUGGAAAGCUCCGGCGGUUGUGGAUGGACUCGCGGCCUAUCAGCUUGUUGGUGGGGUAGUGGCCUACCAAGGCGGCGACGGGUAGCCGGCCUGAGAGGGUGACCGGCCACAUUGGGACUGAGAUACGGCCCAGACUCCGACGGGAGGCAGCAGUGGGGAAUAUUGCACAAUGGGCGCAAGCCUGAUGCAGCAACGCCGCGGGCGGGAUGACGGCCUUCGGGUUGUAAACCGCGUUCAGCAGGGACGAAGCUUUUUGUGACGGUACCUGCAGAAGAAGCACCGGCUAACUACGUG
This 465-nucleotide ribosomal RNA is filed under the name uncultured bacterium. Its description in RNAcentral is "partial 16S ribosomal RNA". It matches the Rfam family "Bacterial small subunit ribosomal RNA", at positions 28 to 507 of the family's 1533-position model. The record is from RNAcentral.